AGCUCAGCUGGGAGAGCGCCUGCCUUGCACGCAGGAGGUCAGCGGUUCGAUCCCGCUA
Molecule: transfer RNA, 58 nt
Filed under: Staphylococcus aureus
Lineage: Bacteria; Bacillati; Bacillota; Bacilli; Caryophanales; Staphylococcaceae
Also listed under: 4 other names
Description: tRNA-Ala
Rfam family: tRNA
About the family: Transfer RNA (tRNA) molecules are approximately 80 nucleotides in length. Their secondary structure includes four short double-helical elements and three loops (D, anti-codon, and T loops).
Source: RNAcentral